RNAcentral lists this ribosomal RNA (252 nucleotides) under uncultured bacterium. Its description in RNAcentral is "partial 16S ribosomal RNA". It matches the Rfam family "Bacterial small subunit ribosomal RNA", at positions 524 to 776 of the family's 1533-position model. The record is from RNAcentral.
UACGGAGGAUGCGAGCGUUAUCCGGAUUUAUUGGGUUUAAAGGGUGCGUAGGCGGAUCGUUAAGUCAGUGGUCAAAUUGAGGGGCUCAACCCCUUCCCGCCAUUGAAACUGGCGAUCUUGAGUGGAAGAGAAGUAUGCGGAAUGCGUGGUGUAGCGGUGAAAUGCAUAGAUAUCACGCAGAACCCCGAUUGCGAAGGCAGCAUGCCGGCUUCCUACUGUCACUGAGGCUCGAAAGCGUGGGGAGCAAACAGG